Molecule: RNase P RNA, 329 nt
Filed under: Rickettsiales bacterium
Lineage: Bacteria; Pseudomonadati; Pseudomonadota; Alphaproteobacteria; Rickettsiales
Description: RNase P RNA component class A
Rfam family: Bacterial RNase P class A
About the family: Ribonuclease P (RNase P) is a ubiquitous endoribonuclease, found in archaea, bacteria and eukarya as well as chloroplasts and mitochondria. Its best characterised activity is the generation of mature 5'-ends of tRNAs by cleaving the 5'-leader elements of precursor-tRNAs.
Source: RNAcentral
GAAGACAGUCGGGCAGUUGCUUUUAUUUUAAAAGAGGAAAGUCCGGUCUCCAGGAGCAACGGUGCCGGGUAACACCCGGCAAAGGAAACUUUAGGGAAAGUGCCACAGAAAAUAAACCGCCUACAGGUAAGGGUGAAAAGGUGGGGUAAGAGCCCACCGCAUUAGUGGUAACAUUAAUGGCAAGGUAAACCCCACCGGGAGCAAGACCAAAUAGAGACGCAAAUAGCUCCAGAAUAGCGUCUGGGUAGGUUGCUUGAAACUAAUAGUGAUAUUAGUUCUAGAUGGAUAACUGCCGAAUACAGAAACCGGCUUAUAGACUGUCUUCGAAC